CAUGAACCGGAUAUGUGGCAAAAUCCAAUUAUUCUCACCCCUAAUUUCAUUCAUCGUAUGUAAAUCAUCUAGAACUAUAUUUAUUCUUCAAAAAUGAAAAUCCAGAGAAAUAAAAUCCUAGAAAAUGUCCCAGGAAGGAACCAUCCUCCAUAAUUGGCUACCUCCAACCUGUGGGCAAGUUACAGGUAACAAACUGAUCUACUCUACACCUACUCUACACCAACUUUUUAUAUAUAAUAAAACGCGGGAAAUUAAAUCUCAAAAAAAUCUCUCCUAGAUCAACAUCCCACACGAGAGAAGGAAUCACACAAUUCGCUUAAGAGAAUAACCAAAACAACAUAUUGUGUUAUUCGUAUUUCUACUUCACACGAAAAAGAUGUAAUCAAAACAGUGUCUGUCUCAUACUGGAAUUCCAGCUGGGGAAAUUUCUCCUGGAGAAACAAUUGGGUUGAACACGACUUUGACUGUGUUGGCUGAUCGGUUGAUAUCAAAUUCAGAUGUUUAUUCUGAUAUUAUGUCAGAGGAUCUUCAAGAUACGGAGGGGAGAAAACACUAAACACUGUCAACGUUGUCAGAUGUUUCAAAUUAACAAGUCUCGGAUUUGGUUAGAAGCCUAAUGGUGGAUACAGUACAUCUUGCAUGUUUUAAUUUGAUCUUAGAUUGGGACCUUAAAUCUCAAGAUUUGCAAUUACUUUGCUACGUAUACUGUAGACAAAAGUGCAAGACAUAAAUCAUUUAGAAAAUUGUGUUA
This is an RNA transcript of Papaver somniferum (opium poppy), 751 nucleotides long. RefSeq lists it as uncharacterized. The transcript has 3 exons. The record is from RefSeq and is a predicted model, not a curated record. NCBI's taxonomy places the organism in Eukaryota, Viridiplantae, Streptophyta, Magnoliopsida, Ranunculales, Papaveraceae.